CGCAUCUUGCGCUCCUUGGUAUUCCGAGGAGCAUGCCUGUUUGAGUGUCAUUAAAUUAUCAACCUCACCACCAUCUUGUGGUCUGGCUUGGAAGGUGGGAGUGGUGCAGGCUUUUCAAGUCGGCUCUCCUGAAAUGCAUUAGCGGUGCUCUCGAGCACAGAGCUCUUGGUGUGAUAACUAUCUACGCCACCAGCCUGUCUCGAACCGCUUCUUGAACCGUCCAUUGACUUGGACAAUUGACAACGAUCAAUUUUUGACCUCAAAUCAGGUAGGACUACCCGCUGAACUUAA
This 291-nucleotide unclassified non-coding RNA is filed under the name Crepidotaceae sp. Its description in RNAcentral is "partial contains 5.8S ribosomal RNA, internal transcribed spacer 2, and large subunit ribosomal RNA". Lineage: Eukaryota; Fungi; Basidiomycota; Agaricomycetes; Agaricales; Crepidotaceae. The record is from RNAcentral.